Molecule: long non-coding RNA, 9445 nt
Filed under: Gallus gallus (chicken)
Lineage: Eukaryota; Metazoa; Chordata; Aves; Galliformes; Phasianidae
Source: RNAcentral
GUUCUGAAGGGGGUGGGAGUUCAUCUCUUCCUUCUGCUGUUCAGGGACAUGCUGCGCAUUGGUCAGAGGGUGGUAAGCAAUUGCUUUUGCAUCACCUCUUAUAUACAUUCAUAUAUAUAUAUAUAUACACACAUAUUGUCAAACUAUUAUCCUUUUCUUUUUCUUUCUUAGGAAAUAGUUUUAUCUCAACCACAAGCACUGCUUACUUUUUCUGAUUCUCUCUCCCAUCCCACUGGGAAGGAGGGAAUGAGUGAGAAUGACUGAGGAGUGCUGAGUUACCCCCGGGGUUAAACCGCAACAAAUAGUUGCUGGCUUCUGAACUUGGAGGAUUUUGUUUGUCUGUUGGCUGCCUCAGUUAAGUCUAGUUAUUUAAACUACCACUGAUGCUAGUAGGGAAUGCUCGCAGUAGUGCACAGAUGGCCUUUACCAGCAAGGACUGUGCAAAAUGUUAUUUUUAUUCCAUGUAAAAUACCUUUGUUCAUAUAGCCACAAGGACAGUAGUCAAUGGGAUAAGCAGAAAGCACUGAAUUUUACAGAAGCGAAAGGUAAAAUCUCUGAACACUGUGGAAAUCGGCAAAUGAUGAAGUUCGAUACCCACUCGUAGGAGGGGGUUGGUUUUUUUAAUUAUUAUUAAAGAAAUUAGAAAUAAUAUUUUCAAUUCCUUUGUCCUUGUGUUCUCCGCAGAGCGCUCUGGGACAAGCUCCUUUGCCGAUGAGCUGCCCAUCUGGAGUCACAUAAAGCCACAGUGCUUCACCUGCUGGUCUGCAGGAUGCUCACCUGAUUCCCCUGUGCAGUGUAUCACCCAGAGCACCACAUCUCAUUGCAUGGUUAAUGUGUCACCUCCCAAAGCUUAACAUCCACAGAGCGAUGUGAAAUAAGUCAGCGUAAGGCAAGGUCCACUUUGGGAGCACUGAUUUACAUUCAGAGUAAAGAGCUAUCUAUUGAUAGUAAUAUUACAAAUGGAACACAGCGUAUCAUUUUUAAAAAUAGCUUUUACAUUGAAGGGAUGGAAGGGCUGGCAUAAGGUGUUUGUAAUCCAUGUUUUUUAGAUUUAAUUUUAAUUUGCAAAUAAUUUUGCAUAAUGUGCAGUUAAGAUUAUUUCAAAAGGAUUUGCAAUACCCCCAUCUUAUUUCCUUUUCAACACAUUGUGAAAAUCUAACGGGGGAGAGGAUAACUGCUAAAAAACGUAAACCUUUAAUUAAAGACAUCUCUAUGUGAAGGUUCUUUCCUUAGAAUGUUAUUCCAUGCUGCCACCUUCAGGCCAAAGUGUGUCUGACAAAUAGGGAGAUUUGAGCAGUACCCAUCUUAUGAUUUUGCACUGUUACAGUUCUUAAGCCAUCCCAGUAAGAGGAAGCUCUUCUGUCUGCUGGGACGGUGAUUGCUGCAGUGGUGGCAAUGUGAGUUUGGAAAAGUCAAAUUCCUUCAGUUUAAGGGAAGAGAAGCUGAGGGGAGGAAAAUACCACAGCUAAUACAAUAAGCAUAUAUAAUACGGUUUCCUUUAAAAAAUGAUGUCAGAGAAUUAGAACUGUGCUCGUUAGCCAACUGCAGGUUUCUGCAGAACUGCAAAGCAGUUUUAUUGCCUUCCCUCUUCCAGAUUUUUUCCCAGACUUUCAAUUUCUCCUUUCGAUUCUUCCCUGGCAGGAAAAAUGUGAAUUUUAAGGUGAGUAGAUUUGGCUUGGUUGAAAUUCCAAUCAGAGUUAAACUUGAACUUACAGGAGAUAAUUGGUUACCCACAUAGAGAGAGUGAAUUCUGCCAGAAAAGAAAGAAACUGGUGGUGUAGAAACUACACGUUGAUUGCCAUCAAUUCCAAAAGUGCUAAAGAUGUUUGGUUGCAGGAAAAUUGAGUCUCUCCUUAAGGAUUCAGUGUUGAAAUUGAUUUUAAAAACCUAACCCUCACACUGAGUAACAUUUCCUUUGUCCUCAUUCCUGCCUCUGCCGGUUUCUUCCAGUGCCGAGCAGGGAGACCGGUUUAUGGCACUGAGCUAUUGAUUAACUGGUGGCACAGUCCCAUUUUCUGUGUAUCCAAACCUAAAUCCCUUUGAAAUAUAGCACUGCAAAAACAGUGCCUUCCACCCAAAGAAAAAUGUCAUACUGUUCUGUAACAACAAUGGCAAACACUCUCUUUGGACUGAGGAAUAACGCUUCACUUCCUACUUAAAUGGCUUUGCACUGUUGCUCUAAAGAGCUGGCACAUUACUCCCCACAGGUGGCUGCAUUUCAGCGCCCAGGUGAAGUGAGUCUAUUUCAUCUUUCAGCCAAAGUGAGUACUAAACAUAACAUAGGGCUCCUCUAUUUCCACAGGCUAUUAACCUUCCAAAACAUUCACCUCGGAGUCUGAACUUCGCAGUACUUCAGCUUCAAUUCUGAGAAAUGUCUCUAUUCCACAACAACAUGAUAAGUGAGAGUGAAUUAAGUCCCUUGUGCACCAAAAGAUGCAAGUUGCCAGACCAAGAUGAAGAGGUGUAUUCUCCUGGAUCCUUGGGUGGCUCAAUUCAGGCUGGCUGAGUUCAUUGCACUGGCUGUGGGCAGGGGCAGCCUGCCAGCACAACUUCACUUUCUGUGGAUAUGGCACUGACUGACAAGCUGCUGGCAACAGUAGUUCUCGCUUGGUGUUUUCGUAGCUCAUCGUAGAUGAGUGAGUAAGUGCACAGCCCCAUGUGCACAGAUACGCACCAAUUACUUUGUCAUGCCAUCCAGUUAGGAGCUUGAUGAAGAUCACCGUGGUGCAUCUUCCCCCCCAGUUUUCCCCAGUGGAAGACUUCAGGGCUUUGGAGGGCACAUGCAAGCAUGUCACUCUCUUCAGCGAGCAUUUACUUCUUCUUUGUCAGAGCCUUGCAAACUCAGCUUCAAGCACAGAUGGGCCCAAGUAGACAUUUUCAUUUGAAUUCAGUAAGUCUCCUCGGACUGUGGUUCAGUCAAGAGCAAAGCAGGAGUUCUGCUAAAUUAAGCUGCUGUCUGUGGAAGAACUAAUGCAAUUUUUAGUGUUGAGAAACACUGUGGUUUGAUAGGCUUGGCACAUAGGUGGAAUUGCUACUGCACUGUCAUGACAGAUAGCCUUAAAUCAUUUGCUUAGCUCUAAUAUAGGAAUGUAUGAUACUUGUCUUCUUCCAUAACAAUUUUGAUCCUCUCUCAUCUGACAAAACAGCUAUCUUCUUAGUAGGAGAGAAACACGAAGUCUUCUAUUUCUUCAUUAGAAAAGUAACCGUGUUAGUAAAUGUUGCAAAUCGUUGUAUUAUUUGUAACAAAGUAUUACAAUAAAAAGCCCACAGAUGCUCAUUGAUAAUUUAUAGCCUCACUCUACAGCUGGUUUACCAUGGAGCAAAAGAGAAUUUACCAUUGCUUCUGCGUGGAGAAACCCUAGAGAUUGAUAAAUCAUUUCUCAGCAAAAGAAUCUGCGAAGUUACCUGUAGGUGUGAUCCCAGAAAUGGUUUUGGCUUUCUUUUCAAAAUCAGUAUUUCUUUUGAUACAUAGAAGUAUUGUUUUCCAUAUCAGUAAUCCUUUUAAAUAUCCUAUAAAAUGGUUCUGGUAAUUACUGGAAAGCUGUCUUCAUAGAGCUGCUUGAAAUAUAUGUUGUAUUUUUCUGUGCUGCUUCAUGCCAUAGGCACUGGGUCUCCUACCUGCCCCCCUGGUGAGCAGGGCUACUCAACCUGUUCCGUGCAUUGGCUCUCCCUGGAGCUCACUGCUCUUUGUGGAAAGAAUCAAGGGUACCUCAUUGAGGAAAUUCUCAGCACAGCUCCUGGGACAGGCGGUAGAAGCAUUUCACAUGCUAAUACUCUACUCACAGUUGCAGUUGUGUCAUUCAGACGAGUACCUUCUGAUUUAGAGAUGUGAGAACAAAAUGUAGCCCUGUUAACUUGUCUGUCAAUUAUCAGUAGGCAGAUCCUAGAUAAUUAAAAACAAACUUCUUCUUAACAGACAGUGGGAAUCAAUUCUUUGCAUGGUUCUAAUUUAUUGUAUUUCACAGAGAAGGUGAUUCAGAAUCCUGAUUAUUUUUAUUCUCUGUAAGCCCUUUGAAGUCACAGAAUGACAUAAAAUGAUGACUGAGCCUAGCAAUUGACAGGGAUCGAGACAGUUUUUCUCUCCAUCAUGAAACGGAAUGGAGUGUUAUGAAAAGGUUAUCUUCUGCUUUUUGUUUAGGAAAGAAGAGUCAAACUGCGAAACAGAACACUAAAGAAAGGGAAAGCUGCGUUCUGAAAUAGGCAGAGAGAGACCAUUUCAACUCUUCCCAAUUUGCUAGAAAAUAUCUUUACCUCUCUCAUCAUUGCCUUUCAUUUUCCCCUCUCUCAACUCUGUUAAAAUAGUCACUGAGGCUCAUGCCUGAAACUACAGCAACUAAACAGCUUUAGUGUGGGGUGAAUUUGUAACAGGAUUGUUAUAAUUUGUGUCUGGGGACUGGAAAGAACUGUACAUCAUUAUGCAAAUAUAUAUGCAAUAGGCUAAGCGGUGAAACAAAAAGGAAAAGAAAGGAAAUCCCUCAUGGACAGACCAGAGAAUCAACGCAAGAAUUUCCUCUGAAGCAAUUCUGUCACGUUGUGAGAAUACAUGCUUGGACCAUUUUAAUACUUUUUAUUAUUUACUCAGUGGACCAUAACGGCUCUGAAGCUUACUGCAGUGUUUAUUCAAUAGACUAACUCUGUUUUUUUUGUUGUUGUUGUUUUGUUUUGUUUUGUUUUUUUUGCCUACCAUGUAAAUAUGUAUUUGAGUAAUUCUGAAAGGGUGUAUUUUACUCAAUGUACCAUAGUGGCUUCUCUGGAGCCUGUUAUGUUGUACAGUAUUUUCUAGUUUGCUGCAGCCCCUAUGUUAAUACAGAUAUGGUGAUCUUCAUGGCGUGCUUUUUAACUCUGCUCCAAGGACUGCUUCCCUAAGUCUCUGAGGUGCCUGAAUGGAAUAUCAGAUGGCUCCAAGCAGUUUCAUAUUGUGCCAGGCUUCUGUCUCACUCUUCAAAAAUGAAAACCUUCUGGAGAUGUGAAGGUGGGAAUUCCACCACUGUCCAAAGACUCCUGAAGGAGCCUACAGAUAAACUAGCGUGAAAGAGGCUCAAUUCUCUCCAGUCUCCAGUAGUCUCUGCAUGCUUGCUUAAAUAUUUAUUUUUCUGAUUUAUCUAUGAAUAUCUCAAUGACAUUAACUUAAGCAGAAAGAAUUCAAUGUAUUUUUGAGACAACUAUUCAGCUUUGUCUUUCACUCAUUCUUUUCAGUAUUCCCCACUGAGGAUCUGCAUGUUUCUUAGUGACCCAAAAGCAAAACUGUAAUGUCCUAGAAACAUCCAAGGCACAGAGGUGUGCUUCCAAAACCAGAAGCAUCUCUGGGUUUUGGGGAGAGAGGAACUUUUGUGAACAGCAGUUAAUGAAGACUACAAGACUUUUCACCUGUGCCUGGCUUUCCUACAGACUGACAAAGCCACAGUUUGACGUAUUUAUCUUAGAUGUUGUGACAGGUGUGUGGCCUCACUUCUUGGAAACUCAAAGAGUGCUGCGUUUCUGCUGGAAGUUAUGUACUCCAUUCUUGGAUCUGAGGACAGAGGUUGGUGAGACAUUUUCCUUUUCAGAAGACAUGUUUUCCAAAAUGCUUGUUUCUGUCCUGUUUCUGUUUCAUUUAUAGCACAGCUCUAUACACAGUGCUGGCAUUACCAAGAGGUGUGGUGUGAGCUGCGUGGGGAGGGGCACAGGUGAGGAACAAAUUACUGUUCGGAUCACAUAGGAUAUAUCAACGUCAUGAGUGUACUGUGCAGAUGGACUCUCUCUGCUGCAGACGAUGGCAUUACAUUUUGAUUUUUUUGAGCAUAAAACCCCAUAGCAGUGCAGAAGAUUUGUUUUUGUAACAAACAUACAGCUGAUGGAACUGUCAAGUGCUUUCUGACCACUUAUCUCCUAGUCUUAACAAGUAAAUUCAGUUCUGGAACAGAUACAAGAAUUAAAAGAACAAUAGAUGUUUAUUCCCACAAACUCCAGGUGUUUCUUUAAGAAGCCGUGUAUACAGUGCCGAGUAGGUGUUACGUUCUACCUUGCUGUUAUACUACGUUUGUUUUACAAGGCACGAGUGACUGUGCAAGCUAUUUGUCAGUGGAAAAUGAGACUGUUGUUGUAGGUAAGAAGCUCUGAGACUUUGGAAGGUUACGAUGUGAUAUAUGCUGUUGAAUUUCUAAGAACAAGUGUAGCAGAGACUUAUUUCUUUCAACAUUGAUCUUAGCUUCUAUCCUUUGAGGUCUUCUAUCAUUAUUGUUUGAGUAUGUGUUGGUUUUUGCAUGUUGGGAAAUGUGUGUGACAAAAUUCAGUAUCUGCACAGACAAUUUUUCCAUAAAGGUGGGUUUGGAGAAUAGAAGCGUUCUUCUGAAAUGACAAAGUCUGAAGCUGAUGCAUGAUAUUUUCAGUUUGUAAGUUCUACUGACUCAUUUUACUGAGGGAUACAAUGUAAGUCAAGUCCUCUCAUCACUCUUCACGUGCAGCCCCUAAUUAGUUAGGGAAGACUAACGGAAAUUACCACAAACUCCACAGGCCUCCUGAGAUUAUCUAGUGAGAACACAGCUGGCAGGACCUAAGUUCAAGGCAUAUCACAGCUACCUACUCACCUAGCAGAGUACAGUCUUAGGUAAAUUAAGAAAUACUAUUUUGAUCAAAUCCCAUAGAAGCAAAGCGUAUACUCAGCCACUCUACAUGCUGACCCCACCGUAAACAUGCAAAUUGCUGUACUCUCAUCUGUGACAUAGAGACUUCACAUCAUGGGAAAAAAAGGAUCUCUGUAUUUUCUCUUAAUUUUGCAGAAUAUUUGGAUGCAUGGUCACAGCAAUCCCAAAACUAGAUUAUUAAUAGAAAGUAACACGUUUUCUAAAGAUGAACUAGUACCCAAACAAAGGGCAAUUUUCAGUUAACGAGAUAAAGUAUCUUCUUCUGUCAGUUCCUGCACACAACGCAUUAACAUUAAUGACAGUUUCAGCCACACGUGUGUGUAUCUCUCAUUAACUCUAAUGGACAAUACAUGCACAUAGAUCUCUGGUUAAUACCGAGGGGAAUUUCAUAUACGUGCAGCACUCAUUAGUAUUAAUGAGGGUUCUCCUGUGGGUACCUAAUGAUCAUUAAUGAGAGUUACACGCAUGUGUAUUCCCCAUUAACAUUAGUGGCACGUGCAUCUCUCAUUUAUAUUGAUGGGAAAUACAGGAAGCCAUAUCUCAUUAAUAUUAGAAGGAGUGAUGCACACGCUGCGAGGAGACACCUUUUCCUGCUAUAUCCUCAACGAAGGAAGUUUGAGCUGUUAAUUAUUCUCUAAGGAAUCUUUAUUUGGCGUUAUCUUUCUUGGUGAUUUAUCCAAGGUCUCGGUGACGUUUGCCAGAAUGCACUGGUUUCUUUCCCACGUGAAUGAUUUAUUUCUGAAAAAGCCCAAACAUCUUUUCUUUCGUACUGGAGGGUGUGGUAUGUCAUCUCUGUAAUUUUUUUAAGUAAGCAUGUUCCUGAAUUGCUGCUAUUUCAAAGAAAACGCUCUAUGUGCUUUUCACAGCAUAGGGGUGGCACACACCACCUGCUCGGUUAUUGUCUAUAGGCACACAAAAUUUAUUACAAACUCUUGUGAUCGUAACUUCAUUUUACAUCAUCCACUAAAGCAGUGUUGUGUUAAACUUUGACGUGGUUUCUGAUGAAUGUAGUAAAGAUAAAAUGACAUAGCUUCCCUUAAGAGGAAAAAAAAAAAAAAAAGUACACAUUUACUACAGUACAGAGUUCUUCAUUCUUCCAGUUACAAAGAGAUUAAACUUCAGAUAUUGUAUUCUGUUCUUGGUCCCCCACUAAAGGAAGGAUAUUGAGUUGCUCAAGCAUGUGCAGAGAAGAGCUACAAAGCCAGUGAAGGGACUAUAAAAUGAGUCAUGAGGAACAGCUGGGGGACCUGGGGCUGUUUAGUCUAGAGAAGGCUGAGGGGAGGUUUCAUCACUCUCUACAACUACCUGAAAGGAGAAUGCAGCAUGAAGGGUGUCGGUCUCUUUUCUCAGGUGACGGGUGAUAAGACACAAGGAAACAGCCUCACAGUGUAUCAAGGGAAGUUUAGAUUGGAUGUGGGAAAGAAUUUAUUCCUGGAGAAAUUUGUUCAAGCAUUAGAAUGGGCUGCUCAGGGAAGUGGUGGAGUCACCAUCCCUGAAGGCAUCUGGGAGAUGUGUGAAUGUGACACGAAGGAACGUAGUUCAGUGAUGUGGCUUAGUAGGCCAGUCUGAUGGCUGGACUUAUGAGAAUCCUGGUGGUCUUUUCCAACCUACGUGGUUCUGUGAUUCUAUUCUAUGAUUUGAUGUUGCAUUCAAAUAUGCAUUUGUACACCUGCUAGAAUGUUUCCAUGGAAUUUACUGUGUUUUAUAUCUCCUUUUUGAACAUCUGCCAUUGUUGUUGCACAAUGCCACUGCAGAGAUUCAUACUUUAUGUGGUGGGGCAGACUUGUCCUUCUGAGCUGUUCCUGGGGAACACUUCCCUCUCUCUCCACUUUGGGGCAUCGGCGUCUUGAUGAGUGCUGAAGAGACAGGGAGAGACUGCACGUGGUGUCCAUGUGAUAUGAACAGAAGGGGUGAAGGAGGAAGGCUGUUCAACCUGUGAAGUUACGUAAAUGGAGACUGGGGAGCGGUUGUGUGAGUCCUGGAAUCAUAGGAUCGCUAAGGUUGGAAAAGACCCACAGGAUCAUCCAGUCCAACCAUUCACCAAUCACCAAUGGUUCUCGCUAAGCCAUGUCCCUCAACACAACAUCCAAACGCUCUUUGAACACCACCAGGCUUGGUGACUCCACCACCUCUCUGGGCAGUCCAUUCCAGUGCCUGACCACCCUUUCAGAGAAGUAAUUUCCUUACAUUCAGCCUGAAUCUUCCCUGGCACAGCUUGAAGCCAUUCCCUCUAGUCCUAUCACUAGUCACACAAGAGAAGAGGCUGACCCCCAGCUCACUACAACCUCCCUUCAGGUAGUUAUGGAGAGCAAUAAUGUCUCCCCUGAGUCUCCUCUUCUCUAGACUGAACAAUCCCAGCUCUCUCAGCCUAAUCUGGCAAACUGGUGAGAACUGCAAACAGUUCUCACAUACGUAGCCUAUGUUAAGUUAAACUCUUCUUUUUCUGUUCUUUGAUGUUUCUACCACCUUGUAUACAGGAAUUAUAACCUGAAAUAAGAUCUCCAGAUGCCGCCAUAAUGCCUUAGCUACAGCUGAUACUAACAAUAACAGCCAUGCAUAUAUAUGCUGUUUAAAACAGAAAAUAAUAUACUUAGUUCUCAAAAUGCCUUUUUGUAAGAUAGUCUUAUUGCUUUUCGCAUUUGUUCAUACAGAAUUAGUAUAUCUGUUGGCCAUGCAAAUUAGUUACAAAAAACAAACAAAAAAACACACACAUUUGCAAAUAACAAAUGAAAUUUUAAGGAUGAUGUUUAGCAGACACAACUAUACUAAACUAGAUUCCCUAAGGUUGAGGAAGAGCAACACACCUUCAUGUGUCAGUAAAG